This 7329-nucleotide long non-coding RNA is filed under the name Fragaria vesca (wild strawberry). RNAcentral describes it as "long non-coding RNA (FVES_LNC002291)". Lineage: Eukaryota; Viridiplantae; Streptophyta; Magnoliopsida; Rosales; Rosaceae. The record is from RNAcentral.
CUAUAACAUAUACUGAGUAUUGCGAUCACGAUGAUGAAAGGUGCUCAUUUCCCUGCUACAACUGCUGCUUUUGCCCUACUGGCAUUGGCAACCUUCCACCUUGUCUCUGCCUCUGAUCCUAGUUCUCUCCAAGAUUUCUGUGUAGCACUUAAGAACACUGAUGGUAUAUACUAUAUCGUACUGUGGUCACUAUAUUGCUUCCAAUAUAUGUUUUAUCUAGGAUUAAGUUUUGUAUUUUCAUGAAUGCAUGCAUAUGUUCUGAUAUGGUGUACGGUCCUUUGUAUACUGCAGUGUUUGUGAAUGGGAAAUUCUGCAAGGACCCAAAGCUUGUAACAGAAGACGAUUUCUUCUUUGACGGGCUCCGGAUGCCCGGAAACACAUCAAAUGCGGUUGGUUCCAAGGUCACCCCGGCGAAUGUGGAGCAAAUAGCAGGGCUGAACACUCUUGGGAUAUCCCUUGCUCGCAUAGACUAUGCACCAAAUGGCGGACUAAACCCUCCUCACACCCACCCUCGGGCCUCGGAGUUUCUUGUGGUCAUGGAAGGCACUCUCGUACGUUGGGCUUCGUCACAUCCAACUCUGACAACGGCAACAAGCUAUUCACCAAAGUGUUGUACCCUGGAGAUGUGUUUGUCUUCCCGGUUGGUCUUAUUCACUUCCAGUUCAACAUCGGAAAGGUCAAUGCCGUGGCCAUUGCCGGUCUUAGCAGCCAGAACCCAGGUGUCAUCACCAUAGCCAACGCCGUUUUCGGCUCCAAACCUCCGAUCAAGCUUGAUGUUCUCACCAAGGCCUUCCAAGUUGAAAGCAAUGUCGUUGAGUAUCUCCAGAACCAGUUCUGGUAUGACAACAACUGAGAACAUGCUAACAAUUGUAUCACGUACGAUACGAUGACCUUAUUUUAUCAUACAACACAUAAUCUAAGCUUUUGUAAAAAUAAGAUGGUAGUUGCUUAUAUGUAAUGUACCUCUUCCUUGAUCAGUGGAUUAUUGGAAUUUGAUUAUUAAUAAAUACUCGCAUCAUAUAAAGCGUUUUUGCGUCCUGUCUCUAAACCUCUUACAAUUUAAACAAUUCAUCACGAAGAGUUGGCCGUAAAUUUAGAAUUUAUCCUACAAAAAGCACAGAAGUACUUCUACCAAAGAUAAUCAAAUGAAAGGCUUCUAUAAGAAUUCUCAUUUAAUUGAGAUAGAUCAAAUCCCCAAACUGAGAACGGUUUUUACAGAUUCUGUAAGAUAUUUACAAUAUUAUCAUGAGGCUGCUAAACUGAUAACACUACACUACCUUUCUUUAGUAACACUACAGUACCUUUCCAAAUCCCUGAAAGAGUUGCAUUAUAUUCUAAGGCACUCACAUGCAUCCUGGAAGGAAAGACUAUAUGUACAUGUAUAUGUAACAAAAGAAAAAUAAAGAAAAAGAGAAGCCCUGAAGGUUGAUCACUCUUUCUGCCUACCUGAUCGAGGUUAGUUGUUACGUUGAAUGUAGAUGAGCUUAAUGGGGAAAUGUCGACUAGUUUAAUUACAAGUUGUUAAAAUGAGUGAAGAUUUCAGUAGUGAUAGAUUCAUAUUUCAUACAUUUUUAUACCCUUAGAUGCAGGAUUAUAUGCUUAGUUCUUGUCAAUUGUGAGUAAUUUACUUGUUAUGUUUUGUAGGUCAAGUUGGAGAACAAGAGAAUUUGGAGCUAAGUGAUCCAGAAACUACCCUGCUGUGCGUCAACUUUGAGGAUUAAGCUGUACCUGCUCACAAGAAAUCUGGAGGCGAGCCAUACACCAUUGGAAAUUUACGGAUGUUAGCUUUCUGAGGAAUUUUACGGAAGUGGAUUUGCAUUUUUCUAGAGCAAGUUAUGAAGGUUUCAGUGAACGCAGCGCGUGGAGGCAGAUUCUGACGAAUUUUGUGUUUAUUCUCAUGAUUCCAAUUUGUAAAACUUAAGUCCAUCAAUUUUUAUACUACAAGGAAAGGGGCUGAAUGUGUCCACAUAUUUGAAAGGUUACUCUUGUAUUGACAAUAAUAACAUUGUGUUAUUUGGAGAGAAGAUAACAAUUCCAUGUUGGACAAGAAGAGUCUGAAAAGCCCGAAUUAAUUAGAAUUUCAAGAGGAAUAAAAGUAAAACCUAGAGGAUGUUAAAAUACAACAGAGACGCAGCAAGAACACAGAGGAAAAGAAGAACAGAGCCUCACCAUCACUCAACCCGAGUUCCUAUCUCUUCCAUUGUUUCUUCCGUGCUAUCUUUAAUUCUAGUCAUAUUUUCUUUGAUUAUGAAUUUCUAAACUUUUAGCUAGGGCUGAGAUGAAGCCCCUAGUAUGAUUACUCUAUUUCUUUAGUUGAUUUGUUUUUGAAUUUAUGGAUUGCUAUGUUAAAUUCUCAAUCACUGUUUCAAUUGAACUUUUAUUCAAAAUCUUUGCUCGGGAUCAAUAAGACCUAGGUUUUGUUUACUAGUUAUUUGGUUUGAAAACAUGAGGUUUGAUCGAGAGUAGAUGUUUUCUAGGGUUCUAAAGGAUUUAUUUAAUUUUUUGAUUAGAGAGUUGUAAGUUAAGAAUACAAAUGCUUGAUCAUAGUCAAUAUUCUUGUUUACAUGAUUUUCUAGUUCUUUUGUGCUUAAUGGAGUUGAACAUGUUUACUUGAACCUGAUCAUAACGUGAAGUAGAUUAUAGUUUGACUACUUGAGUUUUAUACGGGAUCAAUAAGUUAGAAUUCAUUGGUUAGAAGAACUUUGGCAUAUGUCUGGGAUCAAUAAGACUUAUGUACAGAAAUCUUUAGCAUGCAAUCUAAGAAAUUCAAUUGCUAUCAACUAGAGAGGAGGGUAGGAGUAUUAGGUGGUGGAUUCAAUGCUUUAGCAUCUUUAUAAUUUGUUUUUCAACUCUUAGAAAUUUCAUUGUUCUUUUGUCUUUAAUUUCAGUUUUAUCACUUUAGUUUUCUAUUUUCAUUCAUCAAAAUCAUAAAAUCAGUGUGUUUAUUUCAUUAGGUGUAGUAUAAUUGAUAUAAUAAGUUGUUCUAAUCAAUGCAUAGAGGGAACAACCUCGUGCUUGCACUUCUAUUCUAUAAGUGGUUUGUGCAUUUGCGAGUACUAUAUUAAAACAUACAAUAAGUUUUUGACGCCGUUAGCCAUGGAUUGUGUUAAUUCAAUUUGAUUUGUCAGUUGUGCAAUACUUAAUUCUUGUUUAUUUUCUGUUUUAUUUUUUUUUCCUUUUUUUUUUCUUGUAUUAUUUUUGUUUGUUUUUUCUUGUAUGUUUGAAUUUGGGUUUAUGCAAGGUCGUCGAUCUCAGAACUUAGAUCUCAUUGUCUACGAUCCAGAGAUUGAACGAACUCGUAGAAGACUAUUGAGGCAAGGGCGAGCUCAAGCUCAAGUUCAAGGUGCAAUGGCAGAUGAGGAGACGAAAGCAUUGAAGGAGUUCACUGCUCCUACUGCACUCACAACAUCUUCUUGCAUCGUUGUGGCUCCUAUUCUUGAUGGAGUGCGUUUUGAGAUUAGACAAGCAACAAUUCAGAGCCUACCUAACUUUUAUGGGAAGACUAAUGAAGAUCCUUAUCUACAUGUGGAGGAAUUCAAAGACAUAUGUGAAACUUUCAAGUAUGGGAUAUCAGAUGAGCAUAUUCGUUUGAGGCUUUUCCCAUUCUCUUUGAAAGACAAGGCAAGAAAGUGGUUGAGUUCUCUUCCUUCUAAUUCCAUCGCUACUUGGGAGGAUUUGCUUAAGAAGUUCUUGUUGAAAUUCUUCCCUGCUACAAAGACCAAUGCUCUACAAACAGAGAUUUUUAAUUUCUGUCAACCUGAUGGAGAAUCUUUUUAUGAAGCUUGGGAGCGGUACAAAGAUUUGUUUGUGAGGUGUCCUCACCAUGGAUUUACUAAACCUCAGAAGGCUCAAUUUUUUUUUAUAGAGGUCUGAACUUCCAAAACAGAGGUAUGGUGGAUGCUAUAGUUAGUGGAAGCUUGAUGGGAAGGACAACAGAAGAAGCAAUUCAAGCUUUUGAGACUAUAAAUGAGAAUUCGCAGCAGUAUGAGCCUAGCUUAUGCUUCAGGUCCUAAAAGAGGAGGUCUUUAUGAGGUUAGUGCAAAUACCAAGCUAGAAGAGCAAGUUGCAGCUUUGGCAAGACAAAUGAAAAGCCUUACUCCUCUAUUAAACAAGGAUGCAAAGGAGACAUGUGUCUUGUGUUCUAGUUUUUCACAUACCACAGAAGCUUGUCCAAAACUUCAUGGUGAUGAGGAAGUCAAUAUGGUGAAUAACUACGGAAGGCCAAUGAAUAAUUUCUCUGGCAAUAACUAUAAUUAAUUCGGGUUGGAGACCACAUUCAAAUCGUUUUUAUAGCAACAACAAUCAUGUGCAGAUGCCAAGAAAUAAUCCUCCUAUUCAGAAUUAUCAAGGGCCAAGUGAACAAAGAAACCAUCUCUUGAAGAAACUAUGUAGCAAUUUGCACAAAAUCAGAUAGAAUUUCAAAAGUCCAAUGCUCAGAUGCUUCAAGCUAUUCAAGAGACCAAGAAAGAGCAGCAAGUUCAAUCUCAAGCUAUUUUUAAGUUGGAAGUUCAAGUUGGGUAGAUUGCCAAUGCUUUAAAUGAGAGAGAACAAGGGGGUUUCCCUAGCCAACCUCUUGUUAAUCCGAGGGGUCAAAUUGAGAAGCAUGAGACUAUGAAAGUUGUGAUCACGUUGAGGAGUGGAAAAAAGGUUGAUACCAAUGUUCGUGGCUCAAAAGAUGUUCAAGAAGAAGAGCAACAAGAAGAGUUCGAAACAGAGAUUGAUGAUACUGUUGCUAUCCUAGUAGCUAAUGAAUCAGCAGAGAGGAGCUCCGAAACCAUGAUUGAAGAGGUUAUUUCAAUCCUGAGCAGAAAAACUGAUUAGAAACCAACAACUUCCAGCAAUCCAGUGACGACUUUGAAGCCUCUUGUAGAGUCUCAAUUUGUUCCAAAACCUCCAUACCAGAGCUGCUUCAUAAGCCAAAGAAAGAUAGUCACUUGUCUGAGAUUAUGAAAUUAUUUCGUAAGGUGCAGAUCAAUAUUCCUUUGCUUGAUGUUAUUUAACAAAUUCCAGCUUAUGCAAAGUUUUUGAAAGAUUUAUGCACUAACAAAAAGAGAUUUAAAGACCAUGAGAAGGUGUUGUUGUCAGAAGAGGUUAGUGCAGUGAUUCAAAGGAGACUCCCUCCAAAGUUAAAAGACCCAUGAAGCUUUACUAUACCUUGCACCAUUGGUGAUCAUCACUUUGAGCGUGCUUUGAUGGAUUUGGGUGCUAGUGUCAACUUGAUGUCGUACUCAUUGUUUCUAAAACUAAAGCUUGGUGACUUGCAACCGACAUCCAUGACUUUGCAAUUUGCAAACCGCUUAGUCAAGCGACCGAAAGGAAUUGUGGAAGAUGUGUUGGUGAAGGUUGAUAAGUUCAUAUUGCCUGCAGGUUCUCCAAGCUCACAAAACAGCCAUUGGGAGGCCAUUGCAGACAUUAAAGGUAUUAGUCCUACAAUGGACCACCCAAUGGCUGUUUUGUGAGCUUGGAGAACCUGCAACAGCUUCUUUUCAUCAGUGCGUUUAUUUCAUUAGGUGUAAUAUAAUUGACAUAAUAAGUUGUUCUAGUACUCCACAAGGAUUUAAGUUUGUUACUAUUAUCUGUGCUGGCGCUGAGGGCCUUAGCUGAAACCAGCAUUCACUCUGUUUGUUGACAUAAAGUAUAAUUCGAAUAAGCUGCACAGAUCUUACAGUAUGUUUGAGUUAUGUCAAAAUACACUGCAAAAUAUUUUAGCAAUCUCUGUACUAUUGACUACCUGAGCGUUGUAUCUUUGAAGGCCCACAACUGGAGAUACAAUACUGUCAUCCAUACUAGGAGACUCAAAGUUGGCACUUCUACGAACCAAACAACCAAGCGAAAGGUAAGUCAAAAAUGCUGCUCGGAAGUUACUAUCAGGUAUCCUGUAAAUAGGAUACCAUGCCACAGAGUACCUGAAAAUCAUAUUGCACUUGAAAGUUACAUGCUAUUUAGAAAUUUAAGGACCUCAGGAAAGCUCUCUUUUUGUCUUGUUCACUCAUGUGUCAAUUGCAUUUCCUCUAAAACUCUUUAAAUAGUGAUUAAAAUCAUUUUAGCUAAAAAACUAAUAGCAUGAUUAAUUUACAGUGGGAAGGUAUGAAUCUGUUUGUAUUACUAACCAAGAUCUGGGAUGUAGAUCAUUUAGAUUUAUAGUCUAGUUUAGUUGGAUCGCCAUACACUUUUGAAUGUGAGUUUCCAUCACCUCUAACCAGCUCUUUUAUCCUUAAAUGGAGGGAACACAAUAAGAUCAUCUGAAAGUACUAGUCAAAGUAAAGUUCGUUAGGAUCACCGCAGAUCCAAAAAAUAGAUACUUACAUCUCAGUAUAUGAUUCAUGGGUAGAAUUUUCCAUGAUUCAUUAAGCAACACAAAAGAAAUAUUUGAUUUGUGCACACUAUCUUAAAAGCAUUUCCAGCAGAUAUAUGGAAAAAUAUUCAAACAUAUAAUGAGAGAAUUAACAGUAAAGUAAACUGUGGAUAUAAUAACUUUUUAGAUCUUAGAGUAUAUGGUAUUAUUAUGCACAUUUGCUAUGCACUACUCUAUAUAUGCUCAUAUCAAAAAAUGUCAAACAGUAUGAUAUCCAUCGACUACAAAGUUAAAUAUACUAUUAUAACAAUUUGAAGCACGAAAUUCUAAAAUUUAGGGGUGUCUGCUUACUUGCUGGGAGUGCUCUAUAUAAAUGAGUUUCUCAUUAAAAUGAAAUUUGAGACAGUAGGUAUACACGUAGACAAUUUAUUAGCUUGCCUCUAAAGAAUGGGAGAGGGUCAAUAUAUUAGCCAAGUCUUAAAGAAUUGGUACGGAAUAUAUCGAAGUCUUUACCUGCUUUUGAAUACCAAGGAGUUAUUUAUUCGAAGUUACUACCUGCUUCCAUAGACAUGGCCAAUCCAAGACCAGUUCAGAUGAAUUUCUCUCCAUCUCUUCCAUCUAUAAAUAGGCAUCUGCUCCAUACAAGAUCUUCAUCCACCUCCAGUUCUCUCUUAUACAGAACUAUAACAUAUACUGAGUAUUGCGAUCACGAUGAUGAAAGGUGCUCAUUUCCCUGCUACAACUGCUGCUUUUGCCCUACUGGCAUUGGCAACCUUCCACCUUGUCUCUGCCUCUGAUCCUAGUUCUCUCCAAGAUUUCUGUGUAGCACUUAAGAACACUGAUGGUAUAUACUAUAUCGUACUGUGGUCACUAUAUUGCUUCCAAUAUNNNNNNNNNNNNNNNNNNNNCCCGGAAACACAUCAAAUGCGGUUGGUUCCAAGGUCACCCCGGCGAAUGUGGAGCAAAUAGCAGGGCUGAACACUCUUGGGAUAUCCCUUGCUCGCAUAGACUAUGCACCAAAUGGCGGACUAAAC